GACGAACGCUGGCGGCGUGCCUAACACAUGCAAGUCGAACGGUGAAGCGCCUUCCUUUUUGGUGGGUGUGGAUGAGUGGCGAACGGGUGAGUAACACGUGAGUAACCUGCCCCCUUCUUCUGGAUAACCGCAUGAAAGUGUGGCUAAUACGGGAUAUUCUGGGUCUGUCGCAUGAUGGGUCUGGGAAAGAUAUUGUUUCGGUGGGGGAUGGGCUCGCGGCCUAUCAGCUUGUUGGUGGGGUGAUGGCCUACCAAGGCGGUGACGGGUAGCCGGCCUGAGAGGGUGGACGGUCACACUGGGACUGAGACACGGCCCAGACUCCUACGGGAGGCAGCAGUGGGGAAUAUUGCACAAUGGGCGCAAGCCUGAUGCAGCGACGCCGCGUGAGGGAUGGAGGCCUUCGGGUUGUGAACCUCUUUCGCCAGUGAAGCAGGCCUGCCUCGUUUGUGGGUGGGUUGACGGUAGCUGGAGAAGAAGCGCCGGCUAACUACGUG
This 494-nucleotide ribosomal RNA is filed under the name uncultured bacterium. RNAcentral describes it as "partial 16S ribosomal RNA". It matches the Rfam family "Bacterial small subunit ribosomal RNA", at positions 28 to 507 of the family's 1533-position model. The record is from RNAcentral.